Molecule: ribosomal RNA, 465 nt
Filed under: uncultured bacterium
Lineage: Bacteria
Description: partial 16S ribosomal RNA
Rfam family: Bacterial small subunit ribosomal RNA
Source: RNAcentral
CCUACGGGAGGCAGCAGUGGGGAAUAUUGCGCAAUGGGCGAAAGCCUGACGCCGCGACGCCGCGUGAGGGAUGAAGGUCUUCGGAUCGUAAACCUCUGUCAGCAGGGAAGAACGGGCACUGUGCUAAUCAGCAGUGAAUUGACGGUACCUGCAAAGGCAGCACCGGCUAACUCCGUGCCAGCAGCCGCGGUCAUACGUAGGGUGCGAGCGUUAAUCGGAAUUACUGGACGUAAAGCGCUCGUAGGCGGUAUGUCAAGUCAAGGGUGAAAUCCCCGCGCUCAACGUGGGAACUGCCUUUGAAACUGGCAGACUGGAGUGUGUGAGAGGAUAGUGGAAUGCCAGGUGUAGGGGUGAAAUGCGUAGAUAUCUGGAGGAACAUCAGUGGCGAAGGCGACCAUCUGGCACAUAACUGACGCUGAGGAGCGAAAGCGUGGGUAGCAAACAGGAUUAGAUACCCGGGUAGUC